RNAcentral lists this ribosomal RNA (497 nucleotides) under uncultured bacterium. RNAcentral describes it as "partial 16S ribosomal RNA". It matches the Rfam family "Bacterial small subunit ribosomal RNA", at positions 28 to 507 of the family's 1533-position model. The record is from RNAcentral.
GAUGAACGCUGGCGGCGUGCCUAAUACAUGCAAGUCGAGCGAACGGACGAGAAGCUUGCUUCUCUGAUGUUAGCGGCGGACGGGUGAGUAACACGUGGAUAACCUACCUAUAAGACUGGGAUAACUUCGGGAAACCGGAGCUAAUACCGGAUAAUAUUUUGAACCGCAUGGUUCAAAAGUGAAAGACGGUCUUGCUGUCACUUAUAGAUGGAUCCGCGCUGCAUUAGCUAGUUGGUAAGGUAACGGCUUACCAAGGCAACGAUGCAUAGCCGACCUGAGAGGGGGAUCGGCCACACUGGAACUGAGACACGGUCCAGACUCCUACGGGAGGCAGCAGUAGGGAAGCUUCCGCAAUGGGCGAAAGCCUGACGGAGCAACGCCGCGUGAGUGAUGAAGGUCUUCGGAUCGUAAAACUCUGUUAUUAGGGAAGAACAUAUGUGUAAGUAACUGUGCACAUCUUGACGGUACCUAAUCAGAAAGCCACGGCUAACUACGUG